CCUACGGGAGGCAGCAGUGAGGAAUAUUGGUCAAUGGGCGCAAGCCUGAACCAGCCAAGUCGCGUGAAGGAUGACGGCUCUAUGGGUUGUAAACUUCUUUUAUAAGGGGAUAAAGUGAGGCACGUGUGCCUUUUUGUAUGUAUUUUAUGAAUAAGGAUCGGCUAACUCCGUGCCAGCAGCCGCGGUAAUACGGAGGAUCCGAGCGUUAUCCGGAUUUAUUGGGUUUAAAGGGUGCGUAGGUGGUUUGUUAAGUCAGUUGUGAAAGUUUGCGGCUCAACCGUAAAAUUGCAAUUGAUACUGGCAGCCUUGAGUACAGUUGAGGUAGGCGGAAUUCGUGGUGUAGCGGUGAAAUGCUUAGAUAUCACGAAGAACUCCGAUUGCGAAGGCAGCCUACUAAACUGUCACUGACGUUGAUGCUCGAAAGUGUGGGUAUCAAACAGGAUUAGAUACCCUGGUAGUC
This 460-nucleotide ribosomal RNA is filed under the name uncultured bacterium. RNAcentral's name for it is "partial 16S ribosomal RNA". It matches the Rfam family "Bacterial small subunit ribosomal RNA", at positions 338 to 795 of the family's 1533-position model. The record is from RNAcentral.